RNAcentral lists this ribosomal RNA (468 nucleotides) under uncultured bacterium. RNAcentral's name for it is "partial 16S ribosomal RNA". It matches the Rfam family "Bacterial small subunit ribosomal RNA", at positions 28 to 507 of the family's 1533-position model. The record is from RNAcentral.
GACGAACGCUGGCGGCGUGCUUAACACAUGCAAGUCGAACGGAAAGGCCCUGCUUUUGUGGGGUGCUCGAGUGGCGAACGGGUGAGUAACACGUGAGUAACCUGCCCUUGACUUUGGGAUAACUUCAGGAAACUGGGGCUAAUACCGGAUAGGAGCUCCUGCUGCAUGGUGGGGGUUGGAAAGUUUCGGCGGUUGGGGAUGGACUCGCGGCUUAUCAGCUUGUUGGUGGGGUAGUGGCUUACCAAGGCUUUGACGGGUAGCCGCCCUGAGAGGGUGACCGGCCACAUGGGGAUUGAAAUCACGCCCAGCCUCCUCCGGGAGGAAGCAGGGGGGAAUAUUGCACAAUGGGCGGAAGCCUGAUGCAGCACCGCCGCGUGCGGGAUGGCGGCCUUCGUUUUGGAAACCGUUUUCGCCUGUGACGAAGGGGGAGUGACGUUAGUGGAUAAAGAAACCCCGCCAAACUCCGUC